RNAcentral lists this ribosomal RNA (808 nucleotides) under uncultured bacterium. Its description in RNAcentral is "bacterial SSU rRNA". It matches the Rfam family "Bacterial small subunit ribosomal RNA", at positions 8 to 831 of the family's 1533-position model. The record is from RNAcentral.
AGAGUUUGAUCCUGGCUCAGGACGAACGCUGGCGGCGUGCCUAACACAUGCAAGUCGAGCGAUGAAGUUCCCUUCGGGGAACGGAUUAGCGGCGGACGGGUGAGUAACACGUGGGCAACCUGCCUCAAAGAGGGGAAUAGCCUCCCGAAAGGGAGAUUAAUACCGCAUAAAAUUACGAAAUCGCAUGGUUUUGUAAUUAAAGGAGUAAUCCGCUUUGAGAUGGGCCCGCGGCGCAUUAGCUAGUUGGUAAGGUAAAGGCUUACCAAGGCGACGAUGCGUAGCCGACCUGAGAGGGUGAUCGGCCACAUUGGAACUGAGACACGGUCCAGACUCCUACGGGAGGCAGCAGUGGGGAAUAUUGCGCAAUGGGGGAAACCCUGACGCAGCAACGCCGCGUGAGUGAUGAAGGCCUUAGGGUUGUAAAGCUCUGUUAUCUGGGACGAUAAUGACGGUACCAGAGGAGGAAGCCACGGCUAACUACGUGCCAGCAGCCGCGGUAAUACGUAGGUGGCGAGCGUUGUCCGGAUUUACUGGGCGUAAAGAGUGCGUAGGCGGAUGUUUAAGUGAGAUGUGAAAUACCCGAGCUCAACUUGGGUGCUGCAUUUCAAACUGGGCAUCUAGAGUGCAGGAGAGGAAAGCGGAAUUCCUAGUGUAGCGGUGAAAUGCGUAGAGAUUAGGAAGAACACCAGUGGCGAAGGCGGCUUUCUGGACUGUAACUGACGCUGAGGCACGAAAGCGUGGGGAGCAAACAGGAUUAGAUACCCUGGUAGUCCACGCCGUAAACGAUGGGUACUAGGUGGUCGGGGGU